UUGAACGAAUGUAGAGUCGGUUGUCGCUGGCCCUCUCUCUCUGCCGGGCAUGUGCACGCCUUCUCUUUCAUCCACACACACCUGUGCACUCGUGAAGACGGAAGUGCCCCUUGGGCGUCCGUCUGCUCCACAUAAAACCAUAUGUAUGUAUAUAUCGGAUGUAAUUGAUGUAACACAUCUUUGAAC
RNAcentral lists this unclassified non-coding RNA (186 nucleotides) under uncultured Ceratobasidiaceae. RNAcentral describes it as "sequence contains ITS1". Lineage: Eukaryota; Fungi; Basidiomycota; Agaricomycetes; Cantharellales; Ceratobasidiaceae. The record is from RNAcentral.